AUGAGUGAGGGGGGAAAGCGCCGCAAGGUGUACGGCUUCAAGGCUGAGCGCCAAGCCUUCUUUUCGAAAAAUAUCCGCCGGGCUUUCUUCGAGGAGGGUCGGCAAAAAAAGGAUGAGGAGCGCGCUCGCAUGGAGGCCUACCGAAAACUAUGCAAGGAGGAGGGGAUUGUGUCGAAGCGACUCGAGGACUACGACCGCACGCGCAAGGCGGCCAAGGAAAAUCUGAGCAGCACUCUUGAGCAAGUCGACUAUGACCAGAGUCUCACGAACAACGAAAAAAAGAAGCGUAAGUACAACCUGAAGCGCAAGUUCGCGGCGACGACGGUCAACGACCUCAUUGACAAGCAGCAGAAGCGCUACAGCGCUGUCUCUGGAAUGGAGGAGGUACAGCGCAGGCGCCAACAAGAGCGAGAGGAGAAGCAGAAGGCGCGCCAGGAGCGCGAGCGACAGAAGCAGUCGCGCGUACAAGCACGCAAGUCGCGCAACGCGCUCUUUGCCAAGCGGACCAAGAAGGGGCAGCCGGUUAUGUCGAGCCGUGUGGAGUCUCUUCUGCAGAAGAUCAGCCGGCAAUAA
This 573-nucleotide ribosomal RNA is filed under the name Leishmania infantum. RNAcentral describes it as "rRNA_processing_-_putative". Lineage: Eukaryota; Euglenozoa; Kinetoplastea; Trypanosomatida; Trypanosomatidae. The record is from RNAcentral.